RNAcentral lists this unclassified non-coding RNA (1328 nucleotides) under uncultured Neocallimastigales. RNAcentral's name for it is "partial contains internal transcribed spacer 1, 5.8S ribosomal RNA, internal transcribed spacer 2, and large subunit ribosomal RNA". The stretch from base 582 to 1328 matches the Rfam family "Eukaryotic large subunit ribosomal RNA", at positions 1 to 616 of the family's 3401-position model. The record is from RNAcentral. Lineage: Eukaryota; Fungi; Neocallimastigomycota; Neocallimastigomycetes; Neocallimastigales.
AAAAUAAUCCUACCCUUUGUGAAUUUGUUUGUUUGAAUAAUUUUUUUUUUAAAAAUUAUUGGAGUCUUUCCCUUAGAGUUUGCUUUUGAGUUGUAAAAGAAUUCGAAAACAUCUAAAGGGGAUGGUCAAUAAUUUUUUUUGAAAAAGACAUUUUUUAAAAUUAAACUUUUUGUAUUCAUUUGUCUAAAAAUUAUUUUAUAAUAUAAAAACAACUUUUAACAAUGGAUCUCUUGGUUCUCGCAACGAUGAAGAACGCAGCAAAAUGCGAUAAGUAGUGUGAAUUGCAGAAUACGUGAAUCAUCGAAUCUUUGAACGCAUAUUGCACUUUUUUAGUUUACUAAAAAAGUAUGUCUGUUUGAGUAUCAGUAAAAUAUUCUCAUAAAAUCAUUGUAUUUUUAUGGUUAUGAGUGUUUUACAACGAUACAAGUUGUUUCACUUUAAAUUUUUUUUAAUAUUGAAAUUUUUCUAAUUUUAAUAAUUAAAAUUGGAUAAAUUUUCCCGUCAAAAGGAAUAACCUAAACAAUUUUAAAGAUUAAUUUUAGCAAAAUUUUCGAAAAAGGAAAAUUUUUAUUAAAAUAACUUGAUCUCAAAUCAGAUAAGAGUACCCGCUGAACUUAAGCAUAUCAAUAAGCGGAGGAAAAGAAACUAACAAGGAUUCCUUAGUAACGGCGAGUGAAGGGAAGAGCUCAAAUUUGAAUCUUCAAGGUUUUACCUUGACGAAUUGUAGUUUAAAGAAGUGUUUUCUGCUGAAGUUUUGGUAAAAGUUCUUUGGAAUAGGACAUCAUAGAGGGUGAGAAUCCCGUAUUUGACCAUUAUUUCAGCUUUGUGAUACACUUUCAAAGAGUCGGAUUGUUUGGGAAUGCAGUCCAAAAUGGGUGGUAAAUUUCAUCUAAAGCUAAAUAUUGGCGAGAGACGAUAGCGAACAAGUACCGUGAGGGAAAGAUGAAAAGAACUUUGAAAAGAGAGUUAAACAGUACGUGAAAUUGUCAAAAGGGAAGCGUUUGACACCAGUGUUGUUUUCUCGAAAAUCAAUUAAAAAUGGCUCGAUUUUGUAUUGCUGAGACCUUAAAAGCUCACUGUACAUUUUUCGUGUCUUUUUUAAUGCACUUUUCGUUUAACAAGUCAACAUCAGUUUCUUUUGUUGUAAAAGGGUCAUUGGAAGGUGGCUUUCUUUUCGGAGAAAGUGUUUAUAGCCUUUGGCCUCUGCAAUCGAGAGACUGAGGUUGCAGCGUAGACUCUUCGGGUUAGAUACAUUUGUGCUAAGUUAUAGCUUUUAUAGACAACUUGUUGACUAUAAUUAGUCUUGUAGCUUACUCGCUUAUGUAUUU